GUGCCAGCGCCGCGGUAAUACCGGCAGCUCGAGUGAUGUCCAAUAUUAUUGGGCCUAAAGCGUCCGUAGCUGGCCGCGCAAGUCCGUCGGGAAAUCCACCCGCCCAACGGGUGGGCGUCCGGUAGAAACUGGCCGGCUUGGAACCGGAAGGCUCAGAGAGUACGUCCGGGGUAGGAGUGAAAUCCCGUAAUCCCGGACGGACUACCGAUGGCGAAAGCACUUCGAGAAAACGGAUCCGACAGUGAGGGACGAAAGCCAGGGUCUCCAACCGGAUUAGAUACCCCGGUAGUCC
RNAcentral lists this ribosomal RNA (292 nucleotides) under uncultured bacterium. RNAcentral's name for it is "partial 16S ribosomal RNA". It matches the Rfam family "Archaeal small subunit ribosomal RNA", at positions 455 to 747 of the family's 1478-position model. The record is from RNAcentral.